UUCGGAAUUACUGGGCGUAAAGCGCACGUAGGCGGACUUUUAAGUCAGGUGUGAAAUCCCGGGGCUCAACCUCGGAACUGCAUUUGAAACUGGAAGUCUGGAGAUCAGGAGAGGUUAGCGGAAUACCGAGUGUAGAGGUGAAAUUCGUAGAUAUUCGGUGGAACACCAGUGGCGAAGGCGGCUAACUGGACUGAUACUGACGCUGAGGUGCGAAAGUGUGGGGAGCAAACAGGAUUAGAUACCCUGGUAGUCCACACCGUAAACGAUGAGAGCUAGUUGUUGGCAGGCAUGCCUGUCGGU
Molecule: ribosomal RNA, 300 nt
Filed under: Hyphomonas polymorpha
Lineage: Bacteria; Pseudomonadati; Pseudomonadota; Alphaproteobacteria; Hyphomonadales; Hyphomonadaceae
Description: bacterial SSU rRNA
Rfam family: Bacterial small subunit ribosomal RNA
Source: RNAcentral